Molecule: ribosomal RNA, 645 nt
Filed under: Astaena sp. DA3109
Lineage: Eukaryota; Metazoa; Arthropoda; Insecta; Coleoptera; Scarabaeidae
Description: eukaryotic LSU rRNA
Rfam family: Eukaryotic large subunit ribosomal RNA
Source: RNAcentral
GGACCAAGGAGUCUAGCAUGUGCGCGAGUCAUUGGGACUCUAACGAAACCUAAAGGCGCAAUGAAAGUGAAGGUCCGCCGAGCGCGGACCGAGGGAGGACGGUCGGUCCCGAGGGGUCGACCCGCACUCCCGGGGCGUCUCGCUCUCAAAGCGAGAAGAGGCGCACCCAGAGCGUACACGCUGGGACCCGAAAGAUGGUGAACUAUGCCUGGUCAGGACGAAGUCAGGGGAAACCCUGAUGGAGGUCCGUAGCGAUUCUGACGUGCAAAUCGAUCGUCGGAACUGGGUAUAGGGGCGAAAGACUAAUCGAACCAUCUAGUAGCUGGUUCCCUCCGAAGUUUCCCUCAGGAUAGCUGGCGCUCGUUUCUCACGAGUCUCAUUCGGUAAAGCGAAUGAUUAGAGGCAUUGGGGUCGAAACGGCCUCAACCUAUUCUCAAACUUUAAAUGGGUGAGAUCUCCGGCUUGCUUGAACGUUGAAGCCGCGAGAUAUCGGAUCAGAGUGCCAAGUGGGCCACUUUUGGUAAGCAGAACUGGCGCUGUGGGAUGAACCAAACGCCGAGUUAAAGCGCCUAAAUCGACGCUUAUGGGAUACCAUGAAAGGCGUUGGUAACUUAAGACAGCAGGACGGUGGCCAUGGAAGUCGGA